This 1326-nucleotide ribosomal RNA is filed under the name Gryllus bimaculatus (two-spotted cricket). Its description in RNAcentral is "SSU rRNA". It matches the Rfam family "Eukaryotic small subunit ribosomal RNA", at positions 3 to 1195 of the family's 1831-position model. Lineage: Eukaryota; Metazoa; Arthropoda; Insecta; Orthoptera; Gryllidae. The record is from RNAcentral.
CCUGGUUGAUCCUGCCAGUAGUGAUAUGCUUGUCUUAAAGAUUAAGCCAUGCAUGCCUCAGUACAAACUGUUGUAGAGUGAAACCGCGAAUGGCUCAUUAAAUCGGUUAUGGUUCCUUGGACCUAAAAGUUACUUGGAUAACUGUGGUAAUUCUAGAGCUAAUACAUGCAUUUCAGUCGUGACCCGAAAGGGGAAGGACGCUUUUAUUAGAUCAAAGCCAAUCGGCCGGCUCGCCCGGUCGUUCCGUUUUGGUGACUCUGGAUAACCUUGGGCUGAUCGCACGGUCUCCGCACCGGCGACGUGUCCUUCAAAUGUCUGCCUUAUCAACUGACGAUGGUAGGUUUUGCGCCUACCAUGGUUGUAACGGGUGACGGGGAAUCAGGGUUCGAUUCCGGAGAGGGAGCCUGAGAAACGGCUACCACAUCCAAGGAAGGCAGCAGGCGCGCAAAUUACCCACUCCCGGCACGGGGAGGUAGUGACGAAAAAUAACGAUACGGGACUCAUCCGAGGCCCCGUAAUCGGAAUGAGAACAUUUUAAAUCUCUUAACGAUUACCCAUUAGAGGGCCAGUCUGGUGCCAGCAGCCGCGGUAAUUCCAGCUCUAAUAGCGUAUAUUAAAAUUGCUGCGGUUAAAAAGCUCGUAGUUUGACCUGUGCCCUGCGCUGCCGGUUCACCGCUCGUCGGUGUCCAACUGGCAUGCGUGCGGGGCGUCCUGCCGGUGGGCGCGAGCCGACUGCGGCGGCAGGCGUUCUCGGUCCUGGCUCCGGCGGUGAGCAAUCGCUGUCGGGCCGGGUUCUCGGGGGCGUUGAUGCCCCGUGGAAGGCGGACCCCGAUCUCACCCGCCGCGGUGCUCUUAACUGAGUGUCGUGCGGGCCGGCACGUUUACUUUGAACAAAUUAACGUGCUUAACGCAGGCCUUUGUCUGCCCGAAUACUCUUGCAUGGAAUAAUGGAAUAGGACCUCGGUUCUAUUUUGUUGGUUUUCGGAAGUCGAGGUAAUGAUUAAUGGGGAUUGCCGGGGGCAUCCGUAUUGCGACGUUAGAGGUGAAAUUCUUGGAUCGUCGCAAGACGAACUGGAGCGAAAGCGUUUGCCAAGUAUGUUUUCUUUAAUCAAGAACGAAAGUUAGAGGUUCGAAGGCGAUCAGAUACCGCCCUAGUUCUAACCAUAAACUAUGCCAACUAGCGAUCCGCUGUGUGUCUUAGAUGUCACGGCGGGCAGCCUCCGGGAAACCAAAGUCUUUGGGUUCCGGGGGAAGUAUGGUUGCAAAGCUGAAACUUAAAGGAAUUGACGGAAGGGCACCACCAGACGUGGAGCCUGCGGCUUAAUU